RNAcentral lists this ribosomal RNA (439 nucleotides) under uncultured bacterium. Its description in RNAcentral is "partial 16S ribosomal RNA". It matches the Rfam family "Bacterial small subunit ribosomal RNA", at positions 339 to 795 of the family's 1533-position model. The record is from RNAcentral.
CUACGGGAUGCUCCAGUGAGGAAUAUUGCACAAUGGGGGGAACCCUGAUGCAGCAACGCCGCGUGGAGGAUGACGCAUUUCGGUGUGUAAACUCCUUUUAUAUGUCAAGAAAAUGACGGUAGCAUAUGAAUAAGCACCGGCUAACUCCGUGCCAGCAGCCGCGGUAAUACGGAGGGUGCAAGCGUUACUCGGAAUCACUGGGCGUAAAGGACGCGUAGGCGGGUUGGAAAGUCAGGUGUGAAAUCCUACAGCUUAACUGUAGAACUGCACUUGAAACUUCUAAGCUAGAGUAUGGGAGGGGGAGAUGGAAUUUGUGGUGUAGGGGUAAAAUCCGUAGAUAUCACUAGGAAUACCUAAAGCGAAGGCGAUCUCCUGGAACAGUACUGACGCUAAGGCGUGAAAGCGUGGGGAGCAAACAGGAUUAGAUACCCGGGUAGUC